Molecule: long non-coding RNA, 461 nt
Organism: Felis catus (domestic cat)
Lineage: Eukaryota; Metazoa; Chordata; Mammalia; Carnivora; Felidae
Exons: 3
Source: RefSeq, a predicted model, not a curated record
GAAGGGAUUGUGCUGCUAAUGCAAGAGCUGCCUAUCUGGCUGGGUGCCUACUUUCCCCCUUGAUGCCUUGUCUACAAUGAUGAUUUCUACGGAGGCAAAGGGAUUUGAGAAAGAUGUGACAGCUCCCAGUAUCUCACAGAGGCCUAGGUGAUCUGCAGUGAUCCCACUGGAUUAACAGGUCCCUCUUCUCUGGUGCUACAAGCCUGCCAGACCUGCGCUCAGCACUCACCGUUCUCAGACAGAAGGGGCAAGAUAAUGAACCUAGAUUACACCUGGACUUGAGACAAAUCGCAGAAUCUUGCAAGAGCCGAGUGAUGCCCUCACCUGGAGGAUGAUUUGCUGAUUCCUGAAGCCACGUUCUGUGUUACGAGGCACCACUCUGAAUGGUAGGGGAUGGACUAGACUACAGGCCGAGUAGCUGGAGUAUAGAGACACUCCCACCCCCUCCAAUAAAUGGCUUA